Molecule: microRNA precursor, 75 nt
Filed under: Otolemur garnettii (small-eared galago)
Lineage: Eukaryota; Metazoa; Chordata; Mammalia; Primates; Galagidae
Description: miRNA (ENSOGAG00000027680.1)
Source: RNAcentral
UCACCUGGAGAGCUUGUUAAAGUGCAGAUACUGAUUUAUCAGGCCUGAGAUUGUGCAUUUCUAACAAGUUCCCAG